UGGGGUGUAGCUCAGUGGUAGAGUACUUGCCUUGCACACAAGACCCUGGGUUCUAUCCCUAGCCCAG
This 67-nucleotide transfer RNA is filed under the name Heterocephalus glaber (naked mole-rat). It matches the Rfam family "tRNA". From Rfam's summary of the family: Transfer RNA (tRNA) molecules are approximately 80 nucleotides in length. Their secondary structure includes four short double-helical elements and three loops (D, anti-codon, and T loops). The record is from Rfam by way of RNAcentral. Lineage: Eukaryota; Metazoa; Chordata; Mammalia; Rodentia; Bathyergidae.